UUGGAUGUUCUAGACAAACC
This 20-nucleotide non-coding RNA is filed under the name Rattus norvegicus (Norway rat). The record is from RNAcentral. Lineage: Eukaryota; Metazoa; Chordata; Mammalia; Rodentia; Muridae.